This 301-nucleotide ribosomal RNA is filed under the name uncultured bacterium. RNAcentral describes it as "partial 16S ribosomal RNA". It matches the Rfam family "Bacterial small subunit ribosomal RNA", at positions 509 to 807 of the family's 1533-position model. The record is from RNAcentral.
CAGCAGCCGCGGGAAAACGUAGGGUGCGAGCGUUAAUCGGAAUUACUGGGCGUAAAGCGUGCGCAGGCGGUUAUAUAAGACAGAUGUGAAAUCCCCGGGCUCAACCUGGGACCUGCAUUUGUGACUGUAUAGCUAGAGUACGGUAGAGGGGGAUGGAAUUCCGCGUGUAGCAGUGAAAUGCGUAGAUAUGCGGAGGAACACCGAUGGCGAAGGCAAUCCCCUGGACCUGUACUGACGCUCAUGCACGAAAGCGUGGGGAGCAAACAGGAUUAGAUACCCCCGUAGUCCCUGUCUCUUAUAC